Molecule: non-coding RNA, 128 nt
Filed under: Frankia sp.
Lineage: Bacteria; Bacillati; Actinomycetota; Actinomycetes; Frankiales; Frankiaceae
Source: RNAcentral
CCGGUACGGACCUACGGUGGGGCCUCGUGACGGCGCAAGGAAGCCGGUGGAAGUCCGGCGCGGUUGCGCCACUGUGAGCCCGCGAGACGCCGCGGGUGAGUCAGAUACUUCGCCGUCAUGACGCCCAU